AUGCCCUUGCAUUCCCCUUGUCAGCAGAGAGCAGCCAGAGCUCUCUUUUACUGUAAUUGGGUUAGUCUUGUGGGUUCGCCCUCCUCCCAGCUGUCAAAAGAGAUUAUACAGAAAUGUACUGCUGCAUCGACCACAAUUCAGGUGCCGACUGGGGCCAAAGCAGGAGGAAAUUUCCAAAUGCAUUCAUUAAUCACCCCAAGGACCUGGUGGCUGCUUGACCAUACUGCUUUCGUCCAGCUGCAAUCACUGGAGCUCCAGCCAGAGCUCAGAGGUAAGAAAAAGGCUUUCCUCCUGUUUUUUGAACAAAGGUCCUGCAAAUUUCAUUCCACCCUGAGCCGGCCUUGCCCCCAGCCCAGCAGGAUCUUAGCCCAUUCUGGCUGCUACAACAAAACAGCACACACUGGGAGACCACAAUAGGAAUUUAUAUCUCACAGUUCUGGAGGCUGCGGGUCCAAGAUCAGGAUGCCGGCUCGGUCAGUGAGGGUCGCCCACUUCUCUUUGCAUCCUCUCCAGGUGAAGGAGGCACGGAGCCCUCAAGAGCCUUUCAUUUAAACCACUAAUCCGGCUCCUGAGGGCUCCACUCUCAAGAUUUAAGCACCUGUCCAUAGCCCCGCCUCCUAAUACCAUCACUUUGGUGAUUAGGAUUUCAACACACAGAUUUGAGGAGACACACACAUUCAGACCCUAACACGCAGUUUCUAAAUGCUAAUAGGUAGAAGCAGAACAUCUGAUUCCUCAGGACCCCACAGGUGCCCAUGAAAGUUGAGCUACUCUAACCCAUAGGUUUGCUGCAUCCGCACCUGAGAGGGUCUGUGGAUCCAGGUCUGUGAAGACCUCUCUCAGGCCACCCCAGUGAUCCUCACACUUCAGUGAGUGGAAAAUCCCCUAGAGAAUGUGUUAGAAAGGCAAGUUCUCAGCCCCCCAGCUCCAGGGACUCUGACUCAGCAGGUCUGGGGUGGGGCUGAGAGGCUGCCCUUCCAGCAGGCUCUAGGUGAUGCUGAGGCUGCAAGCCUGGGGUCCACACGUGGAGGGACACCUGUAACUGCUCUGCUUCACAGAGGAAGCAGCAGAGAGACUGGGUGCCUUGCCUGACGGCACACAGUACCCAGCUCUCCUUACUCGGUCCGCCUUCCCCAGGCCUCAAGGUAGCUCUGGCAGUAUUUGAGGAAGGAGGGCGGGAGGUUGGAUGGGGCUCUGAAAGUUUCCACUAAUGCUUGUUGAGCAAAUGAGUAUUUUAGCAACUGAAUAAACCGCUCCUCAUUUCUUGUUCCA
This 1272-nucleotide long non-coding RNA is filed under the name Sus scrofa (pig). Its description in RNAcentral is "lncRNA (ENSSSCG00015030759.1)". Lineage: Eukaryota; Metazoa; Chordata; Mammalia; Artiodactyla; Suidae. The record is from RNAcentral.